This 414-nucleotide ribosomal RNA is filed under the name uncultured Bacillus sp. RNAcentral's name for it is "bacterial SSU rRNA". It matches the Rfam family "Bacterial small subunit ribosomal RNA", at positions 926 to 1338 of the family's 1533-position model. Lineage: Bacteria; Bacillati; Bacillota; Bacilli; Caryophanales; Bacillaceae. The record is from RNAcentral.
CAAGCGGUGGAGCAUGUGGUUUAAUUAGAAGCAACGCGAAGAACCUUCCCAGGUCUUGACAUCCUGAGACACCCCUAGAGAUAGGAGUUUCCCCUUGGGGUCUCAGAGACACAGGUGGUGCAUGUUUGUUGUCAGCUCGUGUCGAGAGAUGGUGGGUUAAGUCCCGCAGCGAGCGCCCCCUCUGAUUUUAGUUGCCAGCAUUCAGGGGGGCUCUAUAAGGAGACUGCCGGUGACAAACCGGAGGAAGGUGGGGAUGACGUCAAAUCAUCAUGCCCCUUAUGACCUGGGCUACACACGUGCUACAAUGGAAGGUACAAAGGGCAGCAAGCCCGCGAGGUUUAGCAAAUCCCAUAAAACCUUUUCUCAGUUCGGAUGGCAGUCUGCAACUCGCCUGCAUGAAGCUGGAAUCGCUAG